Molecule: ribosomal RNA, 399 nt
Filed under: Staphylococcus aureus
Lineage: Bacteria; Bacillati; Bacillota; Bacilli; Caryophanales; Staphylococcaceae
Description: bacterial SSU rRNA
Rfam family: Bacterial small subunit ribosomal RNA
Source: RNAcentral
CACUCUAAGUUGACUGCCGGUGACAAACCGGAGGAAGGUGGGGAUGAUGUCAAAUCAUCAUGCCCCUUAUGAUUUGGGCUACACACGUGCUACAAUGGACAAUACAAAGGGCAGCGAAACCGCGAGGUCAAGCAAAUCCCAUAAAGUUGUUCUCAGUUCGGAUUGUAGUCUGCAACUCGACUACAUGAAGCUGGAAUCGCUAGUAAUCGUAGAUCAGCAUGCUACGGUGAAUACGUUCCCGGGUCUUGUACACACCGCCCGUCACACCACGAGAGUUUGUAACACCCGAAGCCGGUGGAGUAACCUUUUAGGAGCUAGCCGUCGAAGGUGGGACAAAUGAUUGGGGUGAAGUCGUAACAAGGUAGCCGUAUCGGAAGGUGCGGCUGGAUCACCUCCUUU